This 786-nucleotide ribosomal RNA is filed under the name uncultured bacterium. RNAcentral describes it as "bacterial SSU rRNA". It matches the Rfam family "Bacterial small subunit ribosomal RNA", at positions 559 to 1343 of the family's 1533-position model. The record is from RNAcentral.
CGUAAAGAGCUCGUAGGUGGUUUGUCGCGUUGUUCGUGAAAUCUCACGGCUUAACUGUGAGCGUGCGGGCGAUACGGGCAGACUUGAGUACUGCAGGGGAGACUGGAAUUCCUGGUGUAGCGGUGGAAUGCGCAGAUAUCAGGAGGAACACCGGUGGCGAAGGCGGGUCUCUGGGCAGUAACUGACGCUGAGGAGCGAAAGCGUGGGGAGCGAACAGGAUUAGAUACCCUGGUAGUCCACGCCGUAAACGGUGGGUACUAGGUGUGGGUCUCCUUCCUUGGGAUCCGUGCCGUAGCUAACGCAUUAAGUACCCCGCCUGGGGAGUACGGCCGCAAGGCUAAAACUCAAAGAAAUUGACGGGGGCCCGCACAAGCGGCGGAGCAUGUGGAUUAAUUCGAUGCAACGCGAAGAACCUUACCUGGGUUUGACAUGCACAGGACGCCGGCAGAGAUGUCGGUUCCCUUGUGGCCUGUGUGCAGGUGGUGCAUGGCUGUCGUCAGCCCGUGUCGUGAGAUGUUGGGUUAAGUCCCGCAACGAGCGCAACCCUUGUCUCAUGUUGCCAGCGGGUAAUGCCGGGGACUCGUGAGAGACUGCCGGGGUCAACUCGGAGGAAGGUGGGGAUGACGUCAAGUCAUCAUGCCCCUUAUGUCCAGGGCUUCACACAUGCUACAAUGGCCGGUACAAAGGGCUGCGAUGCCGCGAGGUUAAGCGAAUCCUUUUAAAGCCGGUCUCAGUUCGGAUCGGGGUCUGCAACUCGACCCCGUGAAGUCGGAGUCGCUAGUAAUC